Molecule: ribosomal RNA, 497 nt
Filed under: uncultured bacterium
Lineage: Bacteria
Description: partial 16S ribosomal RNA
Rfam family: Bacterial small subunit ribosomal RNA
Source: RNAcentral
GAUGAACGCUGGCGGCGUGCCUAAUACAUGCAAGUCGAGCGAACAGACGAGGAGCUUGCUCCUUUGACGUUAGCGGCGGACGGGUGAGUAACACGUGGAUAACCUACCUAUAAGACUGGGAUAACUUCGGGAAACCGGAGCUAAUACCGGAUAACAUGUCGAACCGCAUGGUUUAACAGUGAAAGACGGUCUUGCUGUCACUUAUAGAUGGAUCCGCGCCGCAUUAGCUAGUUGGUAAGGUAACGGCUUACCAAGGCAACGAUACGUAGCCGACCUGAGAGGGUGAUCGGCCACACUGGAACUGAGACACGGUCCAGACUCCUACGGGAGGCAGCAGUAGGGAAUCUUUCGCAAUGGGCGAAAGCCUGACGGAGCAACGCCGCGUGAGUGAAGAAGGUCUUCGGAUCGUAAAACUCUGUUAUUAGGGAAGAACAAAUGUGUAAGUAACUAUGCACGUCUUGACGGUACCUAAUCAGAAAGCCACGGCUAACUACGUG